Molecule: ribosomal RNA, 490 nt
Filed under: uncultured bacterium
Lineage: Bacteria
Description: partial 16S ribosomal RNA
Rfam family: Bacterial small subunit ribosomal RNA
Source: RNAcentral
GAUGAACGCUAGCUACAGGCUUAACACAUGCAAGCCGCGGGGCAGCAUGGGGGUUGCUUGCACUCCCCGAUGGCGACCGGCGCACGGGUGAGUAACGCUUAUCCAACCUGCCCUUCACCACGGGAUAACCCGGCGAAAGUCGGACUAAUACCGUAUGUUGUCCAUUGACGGCCUCCGAUUUGGACGAAAGGUUUGGCGGUGAAGGAUGGGGAUGCGUCCGAUUAGCUGGACGGCGGGGUGACGGCCCACCGUGGCGACGAUCGGUAGGGGUUCUGAGAGGAAGGUCCCCCACACUGGAACUGAGACACGGUCAAGACGCCUACGGGAGGCAGCAGUGAGGAAGAUUGGGCAAUGGGCGUAAGACUGAACCAGCCAAGUAGCGUGCAGGAUGACGGCCCUAUGGGUUGUAAACUGCUUUUAUGCGGGGAUAAAGUGGCCCACGUGUGGGUUUUUGCAGGUACCGCAUGAAUGAGGACCGGCUAAUUCCGUG